Molecule: long non-coding RNA, 4098 nt
Filed under: Musa acuminata (dwarf banana)
Lineage: Eukaryota; Viridiplantae; Streptophyta; Magnoliopsida; Zingiberales; Musaceae
Description: long non-coding RNA (MACU_LNC000989)
Source: RNAcentral
UUCAAAUGCUCACACAAUUCUGAAAUAAUUGCAACAUUCCGAAGAAAAUGAAAAUGGCAGAAUCAUAGAAUGAGAGUGUGUGCAAGAAAAAUGAAUGCUAUGUGACACCGUGAAACAAGCUGUAAGAACAUGACCAUGAAACCUAAAACUCUUCACACUGAAUCUUAAAAUUUAAUCGUGGAUAAUUUUCUAUUCUCAGUAAGAAAAAUAAAACCUAGGCCGGCCUCCCAAUUGACCCGGACAGCCCAAUUGACCAUAAAUGAGGACUUACAUAUUGGUCUCCCUAAAAGACAAGUCUGCUACUGAAAUUAAUGUGGUCAAAGUCUUACUUGCAUUUUGGAGUAGUAAAAUUAUUCAAUUAUUCAAGUAUGUUGCAAAGGAGCAAUCCCCUUAAAUUGGUGAAAAAGGUUGGUAGGACUCAUUCGUUUAGGGUAUUAUUAACCCUAUCCCACAGUGAUAUAUGUUGGACAUGAUGAUUGUGCAAUAUAAUUAUUAAGAUAAUUCCACAGAACCACAAGGAACUAACUACACCAAAGCUCUCAAGAAAAUAGUUGCCACUGGUUUUCUAGCUCCAACCCAUAAGACCAGAUGCCCAAAGUAUCGAGAAACAUGAUUUGAUUCGGAUUCGACUAAGACCAAAAUUUAGAAGCAAAUUCACAUUAAUAAAAAAAAUUAUGGAGACCAAGAAACUAGGAAAAAUCCAUAAGACUGCAUGGUUGUUGAUUGUGUCCUGAAACAACCACAAAACUAAGCCGGAACUUGCUGUUAAUUUCUUUAAGAGGUGAGGAGAGAGUAGAGUAGCAUGACAGGGGAAUAGGAUGGAGACUAGAAAUUUAGAUCGGAUUAAAUUCGGCACAAAUCAUUUACUUGUUACCUUGAAAGUAUUCAUGACAGUUAAAGAAUUGGUCGAAAAAGAUGUAUCCUAUUGCCUGCAAAGUCUUAUUAAUGAAUUUAGCAUAGUUGACAGAAGCACCAUGAACGUACCUGAAGUGACGUCUCAUUGAUUGGUUCCAGAGGCCCAUGGAAGAUCAUACCAAUUGGAAUGUAAACAUCUCCCAAGCAAACAGCACUUGUGUGCAAAAACUAGUACAUUUAUAUCUUAGACGGUUUAAGAGAUAAUCUGUGAGACUAUUAUAAAGAAUUUGUAUUUGUCUAUGAUUAAAAUAACUUCACCUGAAACAAAAGAGAUUAUGAUGUCAGGAAUAUGUUCAAAGAAGAUUUAAAGGUUCACCAUUAAUAGUGCAAAAGGAUAAGUAGACCUUAAAAGGAAACACUAAAAAGAACAAAAUUAGAUUUAAUGAUUCUUCAUUGACUAGUAAAAUUCUCUCAAUCGAACAAGUCAAUCACAAUAUAUUAAUGGCACUAGUUGGCGAUCUUGCUUCUUCAUCUACCUUAACUAAGUUUUAUUGAUCAUCUCUCUAUACAUGAACCUGAGAUCACAAACAUUUUUAUCAACCUAGAGGCCCAAAACGAUGUCAUUGUUUGAGUUGCUUAUGGAUCAUGCAAGGAAUUAGAUACAAUCUAGUCUGGAAGAUUGGCAAGGAAGGAGAUCAAUGCAUUAGGACCUGCUGCAAUCUAAAUUCUUAAACCUAGCUUAAUCUUGGUAGGUUAAAGAAUUACAUAAUUUUGGACCGAUCCACCUAUAGUUUCAAAAUGUGGAUCUACAUGCAACAUUGCAGGUUGGAUCAGAGUCAUGUUCUAGAUUAUAACAAGUUCAGAUAAAGAUUCAAGAAUUGUACCCUGAUAAGAUAAAGAGAUCCAAAACUAGGAUCUGUGCUUGAGAUUUCAGAUCAGGCUUCAGAACGUCAGGCUCCAUUAACAUCCUUGAUCCAAAUUCAGAAGUUGCCUCACAACCUCGUUCAAUCUACAUCCGUCAUGGAGAAAGGGGAAAGUUAGUGAGAUAUAACAUGAUCUUUCAUUUUGGGAAUCAAAAUGAAUUCAUCUCAUAAAAUUGCAUACAUGUAGGUAGAAUAAAUCUAUACUCAAACAAGAUCCUAAAGAUAGAUUUGCCUCCAUUGAGAUCCAAGAUUAAGAGAUCCAAAAGUAGGAUCUGUAGGCUUCAGAUUAUCAGGCACCAUCAACAUCCUUAAUCCAAAUUCAGAAGUUGCCUCACAUAUUCGGUAGAUCUACAUUUGUCGUGGAGAAAAGGGAAUGUUAGUGACAUAUAAAAUGCUCUUGCAUUUUGGGAAUCAAAUGAAUCCAUCUUAAAGAAAUUGCAUAUACGCAGGUAGAACAAAUAUAUUAUCAAACAAGAUCCUAAAGAUAGAUUUGCCUCAAUUGAGGAGUAUUACCACAUUGUUUUGCGAGAUUAAUACAGCUCCCUCCUCAUGAAGAUACUACUCACCGCCAUCGAGUUAAGAGCAGGAAAGAAGAGAAUUCUGUGGUAUGCAACUAAGACAAGGAUCCACAAUUGUUUAAUCUGUCUCGAUCAGAUGCUAUGCAUGUUCUCCUUGGUGAAUGGAGGAGGGAUCAUGUAGACCAAAAGAGAAAUUCUUGGUCCAUCAUAUCCAUGAUAGAUCAGUCCAAUCAAAAAAGGCAAUAAUUUUCUGAAAUAAUGGACUUAUUAAUUGAAUGUAAAGAAAUUUAGAGAUUUGACUUGUGUAGAGAAAAGGAAUUUCUGGUCUUAUAUUUAUCCCAACAAUCUAAAUUAAGAUCCAAGACACUAAUUUAAUCCAAUUCAGGUUAUCCCAAACAAUGUAAAGAUGACAUACUCAUUUCUUGACAAGGUUUGAUUUCCGUAUACCACAAAAACUCAUAACCUAACACACUUUGUGUAGAGAAAAGGAAUAUCUGGUCUUAUAUUUAUGCCAACAAUCUAAAUUAAGAUCUAAGACACUAAUUUAAUCCAUUCCAUAUUAUCCCAAACAUGUAAAGAUGACAUACUGAUUUCUUGACAAGGUUUGAUUUCCGUAUACCACCAAAAUUCAUAACCUAUCACACUAUGUGCAGAGAAAAGGAAUUUGUGGUCUUAUAUUUACACUAACAAUCUAAAUUAAGAUCUAAGACACUAAUUUAAUCCAUUCCAUGUUAUUCCAAACAUGUAAUCAUGACAUACUUAUUUCUUGACAAGGUUUGAUUUCCGUAUACCACCAAAACUCAUAACCUAACACGCCUUGAUCUAUUAAGACAAACAAGAUAUAGUUUAUGUGCCCACCUGAAAAUGAUGUGUUUGACAGAGUGAAUCUGUAUUGAUACGGAGCAAUGGCAUCAGUCAUUUCUUUCUUUCUCUCUUUCUCUCUGUUACUAUUUCUUUAACUGCGUCUGCAAUACUCCAAUCUCCUCCUUUUUUCGGUGACUUGCAAAAAUUCAGAUAUAUACAAUUAAUCGUUAGUUUCGAAGUUCUUUCAAUGUUAUAGCCAAAAGGUUAUACCUAUAGGAAGUGCGAUCGAUGACCGAAAAAGAGAAGAGGGGACGAAAGAGAACCAAACUCGAACCCACGGUGUACCAAAUCAUGAUCAUCACCAAAACAAACGAAUUCGGCAACAUGGUGAUCUCGGAUAUACCGGAUCGUAAGCAUUCCAAGAGUUCCAGGAGCUAAACCCAGAAAGGGUACCGAAGAACUACAAAAUCCCAGGCGGCGGUGAACAAGCGCAAACCACAGAUUGGAGCAGCUUUCACGACGAAGUGCUGCCAAUCCCCAUCUCUCUCCCUCGCCAAAGAUGCGACGAAACGAAAACCAAGAUCCACCCGAUCUCACUUCCCGACAACGCUCAAAGAAACCAAAACGAAUCGACCAACCACCACGCAUCAAGAAUCAAGAAACCACAACGCACAAGGAAACCAAAAAAUAAUCGAGAAGAAAGGGUCGAACCUGGGCGCUCCGACCCAGCUUCGACAAGGCACGAGAGUGUCCAACCUUCCUCCGGCAUCGAUCUUGGUUUUGGCUGGAUCCGGGUCCCGGGUGCCAUUGAAGGAGACACCCAUCGGCCCCCGCUUCCCUCCUCCUCCUCCUCCUCCGCCUUCUCUACCAGAACUAUGGAUCUACGCUGCGACGAUCGAAGACCUACACGCCCCGCUUGGGAUCCCAUCGGUCUCCCUUUCGACUCCCAAUUCGUCGUCUCACUUCUCUCCGUCCCAACCGCCUCGGUCACUUCUUUG